AGUUAGUGGCAAACGGGUUAGUAACACGUAGGAAUCUACCUCAGAGUCUGGCAUAACUCGGAGAAAUCCGGGCUAACACCAGAUGGUCCCGCAAGGGUAAAGAUUUAUUGCUCUGAGAGGUGCCUGCGUCCUAUCAGCUUGUUGGUAAGGUAAUGGCUUACCAAGGCUAUGACGGGUAGGGGGCGUGAGAGCGUGACCCCCAACAAUGGAACUUAGAUACGGUCCAUACUCC
RNAcentral lists this ribosomal RNA (232 nucleotides) under uncultured bacterium. RNAcentral describes it as "partial 16S ribosomal RNA". It matches the Rfam family "Bacterial small subunit ribosomal RNA", at positions 90 to 339 of the family's 1533-position model. The record is from RNAcentral.